CUGCCUGCUGCACUUUGCCCUGCGGAGGGCCGGGAUACCUGGCUGCUCUCUAUGGGCCUCGGCAGCGCAGCCGGACGGACUCCCAUCCACCGGCGCUGACAGCACUGCCCGGCAGCCCUGGAACGAAGGAGGCGGCCGUUCCCCCGCCCAGCGAGGAAGCACCUGCGCGCUCCACAUGUUCUCUCCCACGCAAUCAGAGUUUGCUCUGCUCUCAAGCAAACGCAAACAGAAGCACUGCUAUACGCGCUCCGCAAAUAUUUACAUCUGAAACAAACUUCUGCGCCAGGCCCCGCUGCCAGCCCGGCGAACGCGAGCACGGCUCUACUUCUUCCCUUCGACUUCGCUGGACGACGUCACCGCGGCACGGAGACCGCAUCGAAAGGAGCGGAUGAAGUCAGUUCGGCUCUCACCACCCAAACCGCCCUAAGAAAGGUGGCUGCUGCGAGAGCGGCGCCUACACGAGCACCGCACGAACGCGGCCGAGGCAGCCCCCACUCACCUGCCGGCCGGCCCGCAGCCUCCCGCGGGGCGGCGCCGCCGCUGCCGGAGCCGGGAGCCGCGCGGGGCAGCGGGGAGAGCCUGGCGGCCGCCGCCGACCAAGAGGAGGCGGGGGCGGGCGCGGGGGGCGCGCGUGAUCCCGGCGCGGCGGCGGCGGCGGCGGGCGGCGGGGCGAAGAGGUAGAAGGGGCUGUAGUAGGCGGCGGGGGCGGCCCCCGGCGGGGCAGAGGGAGGGGGCGGCGGUGCGGCGAGGCGGGCGGCGGGGCCGGCGGCGAGCAGAGCGGGCAGGCCGCAGUGCCAGCUGAGGUAGCCGCAGUACGAGUCCCACAGCCACUGGUGCACCCGCCGCGCGUACUCCGCCGCGCUCAGCGCCUUCCCCCCGUCGUCGGUCCCCGCGGCCGUCGGUGCAGAGCAGGGAGGCGGCGGCGGCGGCGACGCGGGAGCGGCCUCUCCGCCGCCGUCGCUCCCAUCCUGGGCGCCCCCUGCCAUCGCCGCCGCUCCGGCGCCGCUACGGGCCGUGCCCGGCUCCGUGCCGGACUCCGCCAUCUCCGGCAUCGCCGCUGACGCUGAGCACCUCCCGCACCGCGCAUGCGCCAGGGUGCGCUUCGUCUCUCCCACUCGGCGGGGGGGUGAGCAGGGUAAGCCGAGAAACACCACGCGCCGAGAGGGAAGCAGCUUUCCCACCCCUGUGCCGCCAGAUGGUAUCGCCCAGCGCCGGGGUAGGGCUGCGCUUAAGCUGGGGAGCGUCCGAACACCCCCGAAGUGAGGGGAGUUGCGGCCCCACAGCCGUCGCAGCUGGGUGAGGGUAGAGCCGCCGCCCCGCCCCACCCCCACCCCGCCGUGUGAGGGCGCGAAACGCCUCAGCACCUCAGCAAUGCUCCUUUCCCGCCUCCCUGUGACACAGUGAGGAGCCCAGAAACCGUCUGGCAUCCGAAAUUGGAAGUCCGAAAGAACACGGGCGGUUUAUCCGACCAACACCAGUGGCACUGGGAAACAAGGAUCUAAUUUGCUAGAACGCGAGGAACAUAUCUGGAUUUCAAAUGCAGGCUUGAAAUUGCUCAUCCUUUUCUCUUCUGUAGGUCUGUUAAGUAUUAGCGUCGCGAUCAGUUUUUUUAGGACGCGCUUUUAAUGGAAAAUGGUGUUAAUUGUGGAAAUAGCGGUGUUGAAAAAACAUUCAAAUGAUUCCAACAGGUAGAUGUUUUUUCUUCCGCAUUCAUUCCCCUCAAGCCUUUUACCCAGAUGACCUUGUAAUGUCUUAACAGUGACACUUGGACAGCAGUUUCUCAAUCCCUUGACAGGCAGCACGCACAGCCUUUGUAAACACCAGUCCAGCGUCUUGCGUUCACAGGAAGAGCUCGCCAUUUGCCCGCGCCUCAGCUGCUCUCUGCCAUCUGGUGGAUACGCGGAGUCACUGCUUCGAUACUUCCAAUUUCCACAAAGAACGCGGUGUUCUGAAUAACUAAGCCGAUAUCGCACAACCGCAGGAUGGCUGAGGCUGGCCGGCCCUCUCUGCCCACCUGGACCCAGCCCUGCCCGAGCGGCGUGCCCAGGGCCAUGGCCAGACGGCUUCUGGAGAUCUCCAAGGAGGGGACUCCGCAGCCUCUGGGCAGCCUUUGUCAAUGCUCUGUCUCCCGCACAGCACAGAAGUGCGGUCUGCUGGUUGGUCAGAACCUCCUGUGUGGCAGUUUGUGCCCAGUGCCCUUUGUUCUGCUGCUUUCUACCUGAGAGGCCCCAGCCUGUCCUGCGUUUGGCCCUUCUCCUUCCUGCACUUCAUGUUGUCCUUUUACAGAGGUGCUAUUUAAGAAAGCAUAAAAGAUCUCACAAGAAAAACACUGUUUAUGUUUGAAAACUUAGAUCAAAAUCUCUCGUGUAUUUUACCAGCUGAUUUGCAGCCUAGUGAACAUUUGACCCACGUAGGUUAAAAAUGAACAGGCUAGUUACACCAUACGCAUUCGUUCCAUAACAAUGUAUGCACCACAGCUACUGUUCUCUGUUCAGAUUCAGAGGCAGAAGCACGAUUUUAAAGCAGUGCAGACCAAGCUGAAAUACGUGGCCUAUCUCAUGUGGCAGCGUGCAGUAAAAAGAAGGGAUUGAUGGAAUGCUACGGCUGCACAGCAUUUAGUGCUUCAUUCCUUGCUGGAGUCAAUCCUUGAACACAGGUCAGGCUUGCUGGUGAGGAUGUGGACACAACUGACCAGAGCUGGGAUCUCUCGUCAAAUCAUCAUUCUGCAGCUUGGUGAUUAUUUCUAACUCAAGAUGUUUGUAAGUGAUUCUUUCAAAAAGGAGGUUUUAACAUUUAAUGGUACACAAAGUCAUAUAGGGUAGAAUCAGAACCUCGGCUUUAUCUCAUUUAUUUUGCAUUCCUUUGCAUUUUUGAAGACAGGUUGCAGAGAGCAGCCCCAACUACUGAAAACAUACAGCAAAUAUUUUUCCCGAGGAUUAGAGCUGACAAAACACAGUCAUGGCUUUGUGCCACGUGGCUGACUUUCCAUACUUGAUAAAAGAUGUCUGCAUAUUUAAAAAGUCUCUCUCCUAUUCUACUUUUGCGGUGUCUAACGCUGUGUGGACUUCGUUGGCCUUUUCUCCGGUUACCAGUGUUACCUUGGGUCUCUUAAUGUAAGGCCUCUUUCCUUAUCUUUUCAAGCUCUGCUCUCUGACAAAGUUCUCAGGUGUGGUCAGACCUUCAAGCACACGGUGUGACUGCACAGGACUUCUUCCUGUUAAGAAACUCAUCAAUAAUUGUGUGUGGGUCUUGCACAUUGCAGGAGUGCGGGUGUUAGAGAGAAGGCUUAGCCAUAAGGGAAUUUGCUCUGAAAUGUUUAAAAGAAGAUUGAUACAAGUAAACCAGCCUUGAGGAGAGAGCUGAACCCUUUGGAAGAACUUAAGGAGUUUGUCCUUGUAGCAAGUCAGAGCCACCUCACUGUUUUCUGUUUACCAGCAAGCAUUUUGUACUUGUUUUUUGCCAUACCUCCAUGGGAGCAUGUGGCUUCCUGCCUUUGUGUAACAACUUCAGCCCUGUUUGAUGCUGGAUAAAAACAUGAGUCACUCUUUCAGAUCACAGUGCUCCAGAAUGAGAUCGUUUUACAUAACAAAUCAUGAUUAUGAUUUGAAGAUGAAACAAUCCUCCCACAACCCUUUUAUCACAAGUAUGUGAUGCUAUUUUUCAAAUAUGCUGCACAUCUACGUGAAAUACGGGAUGGACUGCUCCUGGAGUUUGUUAACACGGGAGGGAUGCAUCCAAAGACAUGCAGAGAAACAAUGGGAAAAGCUGAAAAUAGAAGGUAGACUUGCACAGAUCAUGAUCAUCUCCCUAGACAAAGUAUCUGGAAGAUAGAGGUGUACCUAGAAAUGAGAACCACGAGCAGCUGGGCUCCAUUGCCGUCACGGAAGUUAUAUGCACAGAACUUCAAGUUUAUCUGCUGACGUGCAGCACAGCUACUACUCACUGUCAGGUGAGUAAUGGCCGCUGGCAUGCUGAUGUUUGAUGAGACGGGAGGAGCAGCUACUUCUUCUCAGUUAAGUUUUUGAAAUGGCAUUUAAGACGGGGAAGGCGUAUAGGACAAACAGUACGGCACAGUAAGCUCUGAGCAACUUUAUAUUUAAACAAGUACAUUUUCCUGUUUUAUUUCAUAAGAAGUCUACUGUUGAAAAAUGGUAUAUACUAAGGCAGACACAUUAUACAUAUAGAUUAAAGAUCAGAUAGCAAAACCUUGCGGAAUGAGCACUACUGUUGUGUUAUAUAGGUUGUACAAUCAAAGAUAGUUAAAAACCCUCAAGGAUUAAUGUACUUUCAAGGUAAAUUAGGCACAAAAUUUAGCUUGUAACUAGCUCUGCAAGCAUCUCACUUUGAUUUCACCAUUACAAAGUAUUACAAGUGAUCAAAAACAUAUGCUGGCUGCAAAAUUUUAAAAUUUUAUUGUACUAUGUGCUGAAAUAGUACAAAUGUAUACAAGACUCCACCUUUGUUAAAAAAGCAUGUACAAUAGGGACUAUAGAAAGUAGAACUGAAGGGCCAAGCGGGCUUUAUUUGGGCUCAACUGAUAGGUCAUAAAUCUAUGGCUUUGCUUCGUGGAUGUAUUUGAAAUUGAAUAAGUGUUAGAAAUGCAGGGAAGAAACAGAAAAAAGAUAUUUUAAUCGAUAGAAGCUAUGAUAGGUAUGAUAGAUAGAUUUUAAAGGAACUUUAACAAGCAAACUAAGUGAUCUCUGACAUGUGCCUCUCACCCUGGGAAAACCACCUGCCUGGUCGUGGUAUCUCCCCUGCCAGCUUGCUGAAUAGCAAAGGUGCAGUUUGCAGGACAGAGUGUGAGAUUUAAAGCAUGAGGGAUUGUCUGAAAAACAACAAAAGACAGCUGUGGAGCAAAACCUUUCAGGUGAUUUGCUGCAAGGUGUUAGUUCACACGAGGCUUCGGUUUCAAAAGAAUUACUGAUUUGCAAGAAAUGAGAGGGCAACAGCAGGUCUGCGUGGGCCAGAAUAAAAUCUUGUAUCACUGAAAACACAGGGAUCUUCUAAAUACACACAUUAGAAAAGUGUUAGAUUAAAAUAUCGUGUUAUUUCCUCUUCCAUUAGGAAAAUGUAUUGCUGAAAGUUAUCCUUUUUUUGCUUGCUUAAAAAAAAAAGAUUGCCACAGAACUAGAAGGAACUGUCAGGUAGUUCUCCCCAGGGGUGCGUUUGUACUGCAUUAUACAGGAGUAGCUUAAAAGGUGAAAAAAAACAUCGGAGAGUCUUAAUGCUGUUUUUGAUUAGCAGAAACAUAAGAAGGAAUGCCCGGAAGCAAUGUGAUAACCAAGUGUUUCAUGCAGUAUUUUGGCUUAACGAAUAAAGUGUUUCAAACCAAUGACGAGACUGGAAGGCGGGGGUUUCAAGCCAUUACAUUCACAUGACAUCAUUGAGAAGUAAAACCGUAAGUGAAGGCAAACUGUGGAAACUUGAGAAAUGCUGAGGUGCCUAACAAAAGCGUGCCAGAUGAGUUAUUGUUUCUAGCAUGCACAGCUAAUGCUUGAAGGCCUAUCACAGCAGUAGGAGCUACUGCUAUUUCUAGUUCUUUACGUUGCUGCGUUGUUUCUGCUGGCUAUAGUCUGGUCAUGGUCAGUGAGCGCUGAGUGGUGUUAGGAGGUUAACCCACGAUCUCUGCAGGUUCAGUGACCAACUUAGAUCCAUCCCAUGCUGUCUUGAACUGUUCAGGAACCGGAAAUUCUUUAUAAUCACCAUCUUGGGGGAUGAGGAUGUUCAUCUCAGAAGACUUGGCACUCACGAUCUCACAAUCUAACGAUUCCUCACUGAGGUAGAUGUGACAGCCUUCUGUUUUGUUAAUAGAAAUGGUUGGCACUUUCCCCAUCACCUGAAUCUGAAUAUCCCUGGAAUUGAUCACUUCCACGAUUCCCACAACGUUGUCAAACACGAGGCCAAACUUUUUACAGUUAUCAAUAGUAAUUGAAUUGAUCUUUCCUUUUAUCUGAAGUGUAGACUUGUUACACUUGAAGAUGUAGGCUACUUGCUUGAGUUCAGUGUUGGUAAUGACCAGGUCAUUCUUAUCCUCUUGAUAUUCCACUCUCCAUUUUUUCCCCUCUAGCUCCAAGACGGGGGCAUGGCUCUGCUGCGGGGAGUUCUUGGGGGAGGUGGGACUCGGAGUAUGGCUUUUCGUGGGAGAACGAGCGGGUGGACCUUGGGCACGUAGGCUGGGGUUCUUGUGAGUCUUCUGGUCAUCAGAGACAUGGCGAAGCCCUUUGGUAAUUGCCUCUCCUUGGUUAAGCUGUGCAAACAGGGCUGAGCGAGAUGCCGUUCCUUCAUCCUUUGGGGGGGUUUCUGUAUCGAAGAUGGGGGGAGGUCCCGGUGGAGGCGGUGGUGGUGGAGGCGGUGAAGAGAGGCAUGACCCACUGGUUAGGACAGACCUCAUAGAUGUGGGUGAUGCAACAGGACCCUGUGUGGGAUAGAUGGAAAUGAUUUUUAAAUACAAUUUUUCAAGGAACACUUUAUUAUGAUAGCUCUUACUCGUUAACAUCCUUGGAUACUGUUGAGUUUCAUUGAUUCCAGACAGCAACAGAUUCAGAACUUCUAGCAUCGUAAGUGAAAAUAACACUAUUAUUCUUUCCUUGCAUCAAUGGACGCAAGGCUGGAAAGGCAGGUAGUCCACACUGCUCCUCCACCUAACAUACUUACACAAAAUGCUUGCCAA
RNAcentral lists this long non-coding RNA (6670 nucleotides) under Gallus gallus (chicken). Lineage: Eukaryota; Metazoa; Chordata; Aves; Galliformes; Phasianidae. The record is from RNAcentral.